RNAcentral lists this ribosomal RNA (602 nucleotides) under Burkholderia sp. N2b24_5. RNAcentral describes it as "bacterial SSU rRNA". It matches the Rfam family "Bacterial small subunit ribosomal RNA", at positions 404 to 998 of the family's 1533-position model. The record is from RNAcentral. RNAcentral also lists the same sequence under 17 other names. Lineage: Bacteria; Pseudomonadati; Pseudomonadota; Betaproteobacteria; Burkholderiales; Burkholderiaceae.
UGUGAAGAAGGCCUUCGGGUUGUAAAGCACUUUUGUCCGGAAAGAAAACUUCGUCCCUAAUAUGGAUGGAGGAUGACGGUACCGGAAGAAUAAGCACCGGCUAACUACGUGCCAGCAGCCGCGGUAAUACGUAGGGUGCGAGCGUUAAUCGGAAUUACUGGGCGUAAAGCGUGCGCAGGCGGUCUGUUAAGACCGAUGUGAAAUCCCCGGGCUUAACCUGGGAACUGCAUUGGUGACUGGCAGGCUUUGAGUGUGGCAGAGGGAGGUAGAAUUCCACGUGUAGCAGUGAAAUGCGUAGAGAUGUGGAGGAAUACCGAUGGCGAAGGCAGCCUCCUGGGCCAACACUGACGCUCAUGCACGAAAGCGUGGGGAGCAAACAGGAUUAGAUACCCUGGUAGUCCACGCCCUAAACGAUGUCAACUAGUUGUUGGGGAUUCAUUUCCUUAGUAACGUAGCUAACGCGUGAAGUUGACCGCCUGGGGAGUACGGUCGCAAGAUUAAAACUCAAAGGAAUUGACGGGGACCCGCACAAGCGGUGGAUGAUGUGGAUUAAUUCGAUGCAACGCGAAAAACCUUACCUACCCUUGACAUGGUCGGAACCC